AUCUUUCAAUCAGGUACUCGAGUACCGGACUCUCCGAUUCUUUUGGUUCCUCCCCAAAUUAGUUGUUGGUUGGUCGUUGGCCACUUCUUCCUCUGGCGCCUCUGCUUUUGUCGCAGCUUGCUCGUCGCUCACAUCCUCCACAGUCAGUGAGUCUCUUCCAGCUAGCACUUCACUCCGGUAAGUGUCUCUAACAUUUCCAUCCCCCAUAGGAUUAUCCUUGAACUCAAGGUUAAUGGAUGGGAACAAUCUUGAUAGGGUAUCCUUAUCCUCCCAUGAGUUGUUCUCCGCCUCCAAGUCGUGCCACUUGAUCAGUAGUUGCUCCAGUGGCUUCCCUCGAACGAGCACCGUCCUCUCUUCAAAUACCUCCUCCGGAAAUAUCAUUGGUUCAUUGUUCACCGUCAACUCAGGUAAGAAGUUAAAUUUCUUUGGAGGUAAAUCGCCUUUAUAUAGCUUUAGCACUGAAAUAUGAAAAAUAGGAUGAAUAACACUAUUAGUUGUUAUUUUAAUUUUGAAGGAAACCACACUGAUUUUCUUCUCAAUUUGGAAUGGUCCAAAAUAUCGGAGAAAUAAUUUGUGAUGGAAUUUGUAUGCCAUAGACAUCUGUUGAUAGGGUUUUAGUUUAACAAAUACUCAAUCCCCUCCUUGAAAUUCAAUAUGAAUUCUAUGCUGAUCGGCUUGUUUCUUCAUUUUUUUUGAAGCAAUUAAAAUUUCAUUUCCUCUUUAGCCUUUUCUAGGUUGAUCUUGAUCAACUCAAGAAUUUCAGUUCUUCUGUCCAUCUCUUCUUCCACAAAUAAGCCAAUUAUUGUCUCUCUUGGGAAUGUGUUGGCUUCUCUCCCAUAUAGUGCCAUGAAUGGAGUCAUGCCAAUAGAUAUGUUAAAAGUCGAAUUAUGUCAUAAUUCAACCCAUGGCAAACUUCUAACCAUUUCCAUGGUUUUUCAUAAGCAAUUGACUUCUGGAACAUUUCAAUACCCAUGUUAGUAACUUCUGUUUGCAGUUGAGAGCUUCAGUGUUGUCCCACUCAACCUGUGAAUUUCCCUCUAGAAGCUACUACUGAAUACCUUGUCCCUAUCUGAGAUAUAUAAUGGUUGAGGGUAUUCCAUGCAAUUUAAUUAUAUUAUCCACAAAAAAUUUAGAGACCAUCUUUGAAGUAUACCCAGCUGGUAGAGCCCCAAGGUGACAGAAUUUUAUUAAUCUGUCUACUACUACCACAAUAACAGACUUACCCUUAAUACAUGGUAAAUGUGUGAUAAAGUCUGUUGAUAUAUCUUGCCAAACCUUGUCAGGGGUUGGUAGUGGCAUGAAGAGUCCUUGUAGUUUGGAAUUUUAUCAUCUGACAUACCAUACCCACCUGCACAUAUUUUUUAAUUCUUUUACUCAUGCCCUUCCACUAUAAUAACUGCUUCAUUCUUUUGUUUAUUCUCUUCACCCCAAAGUGACCUCCUGAUAAGGGUGGAUCCCUAUCAGUGCUCAGACGACGCUUCAAACAAGCGUUGGGUCAGGAGCUUCGCCGGAAACAGCUCGGACACCUCAGUCGCUCAGGCUCACUCUGGCAGGGGUUCUCUCUCACUCAAAUCAACCUAGCCAAUGAAUGGGAUCGACCUCUAUUUAUAAGGUCCUGAUGGGGUAAUCUGGUCAUUAGGGCUCUAACCGCCUAACUGCCCAGAUCUGGCCCCAGGUCGACUUUAUGAAGUCGACUUCCUCAUAAAGUCGACUAGGGUCUCCCAUUGCCUAUACAGGUAUUCACUAUCCAUUCCGGGCUAUCUCAAUCUCUGAUUGCUUGUGUCGUGAUCAAAUCUCGGAUACUUUAUCACCAGCUCCUAUUGGGCUAUCAUGAUAUUCCCUCAUUAUUCUUGGGAUUAGUAUGGAUUCUUGGCUUAUGACAUAUCUUUUGUUAUAUAAAAUAGUUCCCUCUACUACCAUAAAAUUCAUGUUUCUUUCCAAACCUUGUAUGUUUAAUGCUAUUUUUGAGUUCUAACAACUCUUCUUUAGAUCUAUGUUCAUUCAGUACUUCUUCCACCAGAGUACCAUCCUAGAUAAACUGAGUAUAGAUCCUUCCAAUGCCACAUGAUCUUCUUUUUCUUCAAACUCUUUGGACAGGGCAUCAACAACCUUAUUCUCCUUCCCUGGCUUGUACGUAGAGUUUUGAAUAUUUAUACCCCAACAGUUUGCAGAGGAACUUCUGAUGUUUUGGAGUCGGUAUAAUCUGAGACACCAUGUGUUUUGAUAUUGUGAUGAUCAAUGUGAAUUACAAAGUGGUGGCCUAAGAGAUAAUGCCUCUAUUUGCCAAUGGCUUGAGUUAUUGCAUACAUCUCUUUAGCAUAAGUUGAGGCCAAUAGCAUUUUUUCUGAUAGUUUAACACUUUGAUAAGCAAUAGAGUGUCCAUUCUGAAUAAGUACAAUCUCAAUUCUCCCCUGACUGGUCGGCAUUUCUCUCCACUGCAAAGUCCUGAGUGAAAUCUGGAUGACUAAGCACAUGUAUUUGUGUCAAGGUUUCCUUUAAUGCUUUCAUACUAUUUGUUGUUGCCUCUACCAUAAAAAAGUGUUCUUCCUUAGUAGAUCAGUUAGAGGGGCAGCCGAAUGUGCAUAAUUUUUCACAAACUUCCUAUAAUAGCCUGAUAUUCCUAGGAAUCCUCUUAAUCCCUUGAUAGAUAUAUAUUGGGGUGGGCCAAGCUUGAAUUGCUUAAUUCUACCUUCUCAGGAUCAGGUUGGACUCACCUUCCAGAGAUAAUAUGCAUGUCCCAAGAAUUACAGCUCACUUUUUCCAAAUGAGCAUUUAGAUUUUUUUUGUAAAUAGUGAGUUAGCUCUCAAUACUACCAACACCUCUUCCAAGUAUUUAAUAUGGAUGUCCAUGGUAGGGCUGAAUACCAGUAUGUCAUCAAAGAAUAUCAGUACACAAUUCUUCAGCAAAGGUCUGAAAAUUCUGUUCAUGGUUGCUUAAUUGGAAGGUGGUUGGUGCAUUUGUUAACCUAAAUGACAUCACAAGGAACUCAUAGUGUCCUUGGUGGGUUUUGAAGAUUAUUUCUUCAAUAUCCUUUAGGUUUAUUAAGAUUUGAUGGUAUCCUGAUCUUAGAUCAUGUUUAGAAGAAAAAAAUUGCUCUCUUGAGUUCAUCCAGCAGCUCAUCCACAGUAGGGAUGAGAGACUUAUCCUUGAUAGUAAUGGAGUUUAAUGCUCUAUAAUCAACACAAAACCUUCAAGAUCCAUCUUUAUUUUUCACCAAUAAGAUAGGGAAGGAGUAGGGGUUGCAACUCUCCAUAAUUAUGCAUUGCUAAAGCAUAUCUUGGACAAUCCUCUCAAUUUUAUCUUUAUGAAAUUGUGUUUGCCUGCAGGGUCUCACACUGACUUGCUGGUGCUGAGGGUUGUAGAUAUAUCUUAUAACUCUGACUUCUGGUGGGUGACAGUCCCGCUGGUUUCUCAAACACAACCUGAAAUUCUCUCAUCUUCAGUUCCAGUUUUCUAUUUUUCACUACAAAAAAUAAUAGGCAGUUUGAACGAAGCAAAGUUAACGGAAUUUCCGUUACAAAUACUUAUUAUCAAAGUUAAUGGAAUUUCCGUUAACUUUGUUAUUUCCGUUACAAAUACUAGAUAUCAAGAUGGACUUAUAUAUGGUAACGGAUUUUUAGACUAUUUUUAACGGAAUAUCCGUUACAAAUAACAAUUAUUUAAUAAUUUUUUAUUUUUCCUCCUAAAAAAUAAUUCCCCCAAAUCCAUUUCCCCAAAUCCUCCUAUUUCAUUUUCUAUUCCCUUCUAUUUCCCCAAAACCUCCUAUCCCCCCAAAAUCGUAAACCCCUGCUCCCCCCCUUCUCCCCUGUUCUCCCCCAAAUCCAUCUUUUCCGACCUCCGGACUCCGCGAAUCUCUUCUCCACUUCUUUCUACGUUGCUACUGGUUGGAAAUCUCUACUCAACUUCUACCUACGUUGCUGUCGAUCCUCCAAGGUUCGAUUGUUUUAUUCUGAAAUCCUCAGAGCUUAUUAUUAUUAAAAACUUAAAGUCUACCUAUUCUUGAUCCUACUUUUCCAACAAAUGUAUCGACGACGUCUUUUUUUUAUCUCUGAAUUUGGGGGAGGGGAACACUACAAGAAAACAGGGAAACAGCCACGGCCAAGUUCACUGGCUAAAUGGCAAAAUCCGUGGCUAAAUUGAUUUAGCCACGGGAAUUAGCCACGGGAGCUGCCGUGGCUGUAAGUCUGGUGGCUACUGUUUUUUGGCCACGGAAAUGGUUUUCCGUGGCUAAAUAUUAGCCACGGCCAUUUAUUUUAGCCACGGCCAAAAUCCGUGGCUAAUGUUAAAAAAUUAGCCACGGUAUAAUUCAGUGGCUAAUUUAAUUUUGCAGCCACGGAUUUUGGUCGUGGCUAAUCCUUAACUGGCCGUGGCUAAAUCCUUGAAACAGAGUGGAAAGUGAAGGGCCACGGCCAAAAUCCGUGGCUAAUCCUUAACUGGCCGUGGCUAAAUCCUUGAAACAGAGUUGAAAGUGAAGGGCCACGGCCAAAAUCCGUGGCUAAAUGUCAAAAGGCCGUGGCUAAUUUCUAAAAUAAUUAUAGGAAAUAUUUACAUUUUAGAAGACGUCUAUUGAAGGUCUUACACAUUCAUAUAACCUGAAAAAAUCAAUGAAACAUAUAUUUACAUUCAUAUUCCAUUCAUACACAAAUAUCCCUCAAAAUUAUCCAAAACAUUCAUUACAUUAUAUUCCAUACCUAUAACCAAACAUACCAUUCCAAAACAUUCAAUAACCAAUAAAACAUAUCAUUCCAUUCCAAAACGUACCAUUCAAUUAAUAAGCAACAAAACAUACCAUUCAUACAAUUCAUGUUAUUCAAAACUAAACCAAAAGAUAAAAGAAGAGGAACAUAUUUGUUGGUGUUUGUCACGCUAUUCGUCGCACUUUUACUCGGACUUUUACUCGGAAUUUUACUUGGACUCUUGCCAAUAUUUUCGACAUUUGAAUCUCUUGUAAUAGGCGUGAUUAUGGUGUUAUGUCCUUGGCUCGACUGACCCUAAUGUAAAAAAAAAUUGAAAUUACAAAGAAAAUAUGAAUAUUGAUUUAUAUAUAAAUGCUAAUUACCUCAAUCGUCUCUCGACGUAAGUCUUCCCUUAGUUCCUUUAGUAUAUCCGGCAUCUGUUUUCUAAUGGCCUCUUGAACUGCCCGAUCAAAGUCUUCUUUACUUUUUUAUUGUUGAAUUUCUAUAUAAUUCGUCGUUGUGUUCUGUGAAGUCGCCAUAUUAUCUGUCGUUGUUCGUAAACAUUUAUUAAUAAGAAUUAAACUAGGUAGGUUAUAAUUUCUUGUUUGGAUCGAGCUCAUCAUAUAUAUAUAAGGACGCGUUUUUGGUGCGGUUCGUCCGCACCAAGAAUUCGCUGCGAACUCACCGUUCCGGACGUUCACACGCCGUCCGUCCCCUACACACGCGAUGGGUUCCGGUUCCGGUUCUAGUCUCGCGAUUUCGAGAUUCCAGUUCCAGGAACUGACACGGUUCCAGAUCAAAACUAGCUACGUCGGACAUUCGUCAGAUUUGAAAUCCGACGAAUCUAUGGGUCAUCCGCAGCACUGUACCUAAAAUGAUUCAUUUCCCAUGCGGUUCAUCCCCAAUACGAAUGACUGCGGACGAACUAUGAUGGGUUCCUUAUGCCGAUCUGGAACCCAUCGUGGUUCCCAUGGCCGAACACGAUCGGAAACCCAUCAUGAUUCCCGAUUGUGUCCGUCCAUCGGUUCCGCAGGAGGCAUGAAACACGAUGGGUUCCUCGCUGCCAUGCAUUUCCGUUUGCAAUGAGGUGCGUCGGUCUGGAAAAUGCAGUUCAUCCGACCUCGUCUGAAGCUGAGUGUAUAUAUAUAUUUCAUCCAGAUAUUAAUUAUUUGAAGUUGACAUUUACUAAUAAUUUGGUAAAUAUUUAAAAUUGAGUCGAUCUACAAUUAGUUGUGGUGGUAAAAAAAACAGAGAGAAAGAGAGGUAGACACGUAGGUAGCUAGAAAAAGUUGCAAUUAGAAACAAUAGCAUAAUUUGGCUGCAUGCAUGUAUGCAGUUUGGUUACAUUACGUACAUGAAGAGAGGUUAUUUUUAAGUUGUAAACAAGGUGGCGGGAAAACAUUCCGUGAACAUCCAGCUACAUACUGACAGUGCCAGUUGGCAUACUGAGGAGCUAUUCCUUUGAAGCUAAUAUUUGUGAGGCGCACGCCUUUAAUACCAGUUCCCUGGAGGCCGCGGAGUAGCGGUGCUCUUUUUAUAUCCACUCCAACUACAUUACUUAUAACAAUUACAUUAAUGACGGGGACAGCCUUUCGAUCCCAGUUAUCAUCUGGGUGAUCAUCGGAGCCUCUGCUAAAUCUGAUCGGAAUCUUAACUCUCUCCAUGACGACGUGAGUGAUGGUGAUGUUGGCGAUGUAGCCUCCUCUCCCUCUGUCGGUCUUUACCCGUAUCCCUGCAGCCGAAUCCCAAACAUGCAAGUCUUCGACGAUGACAUCAUGUAUACCACCAGACAUCUCGCUUCCUAUUCCCACACCGGAGCACGUAGGCGUAGUUCCAGAGAGCCUUCUGAUGAUGAUAUCGGAGCUGGGGCGACCCAUUUUCGUGCCAUAUUGGUCCCAUCCACUCUUGAUUGCAACCAGAUCGUCUCCACUUUCCACAUAACAGUCCUCUAUACAAACUCGGGAGCUGGAAUCUGAAUGAACGAACCAUAGAUCGAUAUCUCAUACAACAAUUUCAGGCAAAAUUAAUUAUUAGGAAAACAAAUAUUAAUUACUGGCAUGGCCUGGAUAAUUAUAUAUAUUAAUUUCAUUUCAUUUCACAGGUAAUUAUUAAUUUGAGGAUCGAAUUUAUAAUGAGGAAAAGCAAGCUAGCAAGCAAGCGUCAGAUAUUAAUUAACCAAUUAAUAAUUAUAUAUAUAAUUAACCAAACCAAGAUAUAUUUAAUUAAAUUAAAGUUUUAUUUAUUUAUUUAAUAAAAGCAAUUGGC
Molecule: long non-coding RNA, 6942 nt
Filed under: Zostera marina
Lineage: Eukaryota; Viridiplantae; Streptophyta; Magnoliopsida; Alismatales; Zosteraceae
Description: long non-coding RNA (ZMAR_LNC001679)
Source: RNAcentral